UUGAGGCAGGAUCAAGACCCUGCCCCCUGCAUCAAGACUGAGCUAGGUGUCCCACCAUAGGUAAUGGGCUCCAAAAAGCCAGCUCAUACACCAGGGAUAGAUCCUGAUCCCACUGCCAGGGGCCCUUCAAACAGACCAAGCUGCGCAACUGUCUCCCAUAUGGAGAGAACCUAGUCCAGUCCCAUGCAGGCUCCACAGCUGUUGGUCUAAAGUUCAUGAGUUCCCACUAGGUUGGUUUGGUCAUCUCUGCAUGUUUCCCCAUCAUGAUCUUGAUCCUCCUUGCUUAUAGAAUCCCUCUUCCCUCUCUUCGACUGGACUCCUGGAGCUCAGCCUGGUGCUUGGCUGUGGAUCUCUGCAUCUGUUUCCAUCAGUUACUGGAUGAAGGCUCUCUGAUGACAGUUAGGGUAGUCACCAAUCUGAUUACUGGGGUAGGCCAGUUCAGGUACCCUCUCCACUAUUGCUAGUAGUCUGAUCUGGGGUCAUCCUUGUGGAUUCCUGGGAAUUUCCCUGGCACCAGGUUUCUCCCUAUCCCUCUCUCCAUAAUGGUUCCCUCUAUCAAGAGAUCUCUUUCAUUGCUCUCCCACUCCAUCCCUGUUCCAGCUGGACUAUCCUGUUCCCUAAUGCUCUCAUCCCAUAUCCUCUCCUCUCUAAUACUGCCCCCCCCCCCAUUUACUCAUGGAGAUCUCAUCUAUUUCUCCUUCCCAGGGCAAUCCAUGCAUCCCUCUCAGGGUCCUCCUUGUUACCUCGCUUCUCUGGAGCUGUGGGUUAUAGCCUGAUUACCCUUUGCUUUACAUCUUAGCAUGCUAAGAAUCAUCUUCCAUUUUCUGCACGUUUUACAUAGUAGAGCAGAUUUCAUUUGAUGGCACCACACACCUAUAUGUUUAACUACUGGGAUAGCUGAAGCAGGGGGAUCACUAGUGCUGAGGAACUCAAGACCAACCUGGGCAACACAGUAACACUAUAUCUGUAAAACUAAGUUAAAAAUAUUUUUCUCAGCACUAGUACUACAACACAUAUGGAAUUCAUUCUCUUAUUCAGUUUUGAUUCCAGUAAGCGGUCACAGAAAGUGUAGUCAGUAUAAAGCACUGGUGGAGUGAGGUAAGGGACAGUCCAUGCCUCACAGAGAACAGAUUUGUCAGGUUGCUUUGUGGCUGUAACAAAGCUAAAAUACAGCAGUAUAUAGUAAAACACUGCAUCAAAAACAUACAGUAGACGCAGAUCUGAGCUAAGGCAUUUGUUGGUAUCAUACAACGUGGCGUGGUGACCCGAGGCAGUGGCUGCGUGCUGUGUACUCAGAACCAAGGCUGCAGUUGCUUGUAUGACAAAGGCAAGGACUGCCAGCAACACACAGCUUCAUCACCUCUUGGAUUCUGAAUUAAGUUGUGGGUUCUGUGCACUCACAACCCUUUCACUGUUGUCAAUUUUUUGUGACUUAUGUAGGGGUCGUGACCCUCAGUUUAAGAACCUGUGGUGUUCCAGCUCAGGAGUCAGUGUCCUAUGGAUUCAUCAGCUCUCAAGAGGCCAAGGGAGCAUCCUGAGUGGAAAAACUCCAGCCCUGACUGGUUAACACAGUAUACAAGAUCACCAGCAUCCUUUGGGCAGUGGGAACAGCGCUGUCUUUGGAGCAGGAGACUAUUCUGGCUCUGUAAUGAACACAGCUACCAAGUCAGGAGUACCAGCCACCUAAAUACAAUGAGAUGCCAUCUGCAUAUCUGAGCAAGUGGACAGGAUAGGCAGAGGCUUUGAGAAGAGUUCCGCCACAGUCUGACCCACUGUGGGCUGCCUGCAUGGAGUGCCUGCUGCCUGCUUCUGGUCCAGGGUCUCCAACUUCGGGAAUGCUGGGAUGGGAGUGACCAGUGGUGACUGCAAACCCUGCCCACAUCUGCUGAUUGUAGCCAUGACCACAGUCUGUCCUUGCUGGCACCUCAUUUUAUAUGUGACUGACUUUGAAGACUGUGCUUGCCCCUGAUGUUUUCAUCCAACACGGUUCAAACCUGUUCCUCUUCUGCCAUAAGCCCUAGCAAAGAGCAGCGUUCCAGAGCCGUUUGCCGACCUGUGAUGUCUGAGCACUUGAACUUUAAUAGUGACUCACAUGUUUUAUGGGAAGUGCAGAGCGCUCCUCUACACAGCACAGACAAACACUCACACCAAGUCUGGGAAUACCAUGCACCCCAACCCAAAUCCUUCCUGGGAUACAGCCAUCUCCUCCUCUGGAAAGCUUCCUCUCUGGGGAGAAGGGGGAGUGGACCUUCCAGAGCUGAAUGCUCCCCACAGCUGCACACCAGCCUGCGGUGAAGCACAAGCAUCAUUGUGGAAGGGCAUGAAGGAGAAAACAUGCUUACCUCAUGGGCGCUGGGAAGCAAAGAGAGGAGAGAGGCAGUGACCAGGACAAAUGAGAAUGCUCAAGUCACGGCCCUAGUGUUGUAUGAUGUUCUGUUUGUGUUCUGACAAAUAAAGCUUGCCUGGAGAUCAAAGGGUCGGAGAUAGUCACUAGUUAACCACAGAGGCCAGGCAGUGGUGGCACACACCUUUAAUCCCAGCACUUGGGAGGGGGAAUCAGAAAGACCAGGAGUUCAAGGCCACCCUCAGCUAUACGAGAUUGAUCCAGUCUAAAGGAGAACCAGAGCCAGGUGGCGGUGGUUCAUACCUUUAACCCCAGCACAUGGGAGGUUCAUGCCUUUAAUCCCAGCACUUAGAAGGAUCAUGCCUUUGAAAGCGACAGCCUACAGAAUGGGAAAAGAUCUUCACCAACCCCACAUCUGACAGAGGACUGAUAUCCAGAAUAUAUAAGGAAUUCAAGAAAUUAGACAUCAAAAUGCCCAACAGUCCAAUUAAGAAAUGGGCUAUAGAACUAAACAGAGAAUUCUCAACAGAGGAAACUCAAAUGGCCGAAAGACAUUUAAGGAACUGCUCAACAUCCCUAAUCAUCAGGGAAAUGCAAAUCAAAACAACUCUGAGAUACCACCUUACGCCUGUCAGAAUGGCUAAGAUCAAAAACACUGAAGACACCUUAUGCUGGAGAGGAUGUGGAGCUAGGGGAACUCUCCUCCACUGCUGGUGGGAAUGCAAGCUUGUACAACCACUUUGGAAAUCAAUAUGGCGCUUUCUUAGAAAAUUGGGAAUCAAUCUCCCCCAAGAUCCAGCUAUACCACUCUUGGGCAUAUACCCAAGAAAUGCUCAACCACGCCAUAAGAGCACUUGUUCAGCUAUGUUCAUAUCAGCAUUGUUUGUAAUAGCCAGAACAUGGAAACAACCCAGAUGCCCUUCAACUGAAGAAUGGAUAAACAAAAUGUGGUACAUAUACACAAUGGAAUACUACUCAGCAGAGAAAAACAAUGGCAUCAUGAGGUUUGCAGACAAAUGGAUGGAUCUAGAAAAAAUCAUCCUGAGUGAGGUAACCCAGACUCAGAAAGACAAACAUGGUAUGUACUCACUCAUAGCAGGAUACUAGACAUGAAACAAGGAUGACUUGUCUGCUACUCACAUCACCAGGGAGGCUACCUGGAAAACAGGACCCCAAGAAAGACACAGGGAUCGCCCAAUGACAGAGAAAUGGAAUGAGAUCUACAUGAACAGCUUGGACAUGAGUGGGGGUAAUGAAAGGCGAGGGUCGAGGGAAAGAGAGCUUGGGGGAGCGGGAGAUCCCAGCUGGAUCAACAACAGAGAGGGAGAACAAGGAAUAGGAGACCAUGGUAAAUGAAGACCACAUGAGAAUAGGAAGAAGCAAAGUGCUAGAGAGGCCCACAGAAAUCCACAAAGAUACCCACACAACAGACUGCUGGCAAUGGUCGAGAGACAGCCCGAACUGACCUACUCUGGUGAUGGGAUGGCCAAACACCCUAAUUGUUGUGCUAGAAACCUCAUCCAACUACUGAGGGAUCUGGAUGCAGAGAUCCAUGACUAGGCCCCAGGUGGAUCUCUGGGAGUCCAAUUAGCGAGAAUGAGGAGGGUUUAUAUGAGCGAGAAUUGUUGAGACCAAGGUUGGAUAAAGCACAGGGACAAAUAGCCAAAUGAAUGGAAACACAUGAACUAUGAACCAAUG
Peromyscus californicus insignis is the source of this 4042-nucleotide long non-coding RNA. RefSeq lists it as uncharacterized. The transcript is spliced from 4 exons. NCBI's taxonomy places the organism in Eukaryota, Metazoa, Chordata, Mammalia, Rodentia, Cricetidae. The record is from RefSeq and is a predicted model, not a curated record.